RNAcentral lists this long non-coding RNA (357 nucleotides) under Carica papaya (papaya). RNAcentral's name for it is "long non-coding RNA (CPAP_LNC009645)". The record is from RNAcentral. Lineage: Eukaryota; Viridiplantae; Streptophyta; Magnoliopsida; Brassicales; Caricaceae.
CAGAAUGGUGGAUACAAUGGUGAAAAAAUAGCACGAAACAAGAAUUGGGAAGGGCCUCAUCGGAGGUGAUUUUUGGUUUUUCCCGCGGUGCACUAGGCUUUACCUGCGAUUUUUAGCUCAUCUGCCAAUUCUUUUACUCCGAUUUGGUCAUGUGGGUGCUCAAAAUCAAAUUUCAGGCGAAUGAAAUUUUUUUUACUUUUUUAGCGGUCGAAGGUGGCUUCGAUGCGGCGGCAAGCGGCAAUUGGCUCCCUUUUCCGGCGACUGGUUCUUCUUCUCCAAUGGGGGGCUGGCGGCUAGGGCUAGGGUUUGAUAUGAAGUGAUAUAUUUAUAUCCAUCUCCUUUUAAUCUUAGUCAUUC